This 459-nucleotide ribosomal RNA is filed under the name uncultured bacterium. RNAcentral describes it as "partial 16S ribosomal RNA". It matches the Rfam family "Bacterial small subunit ribosomal RNA", at positions 338 to 795 of the family's 1533-position model. The record is from RNAcentral.
CCUACGGGAGGCAGCAGUGAGGAAUAUUGGUCAAUGGUCGGGAGACUGAACCAGCCAAGCCGCGUGAGGGAUGAAGGUACAGAGUAUCGUAAACCUCUUUUGUCAGGGAACAAAGGCGGGGACGCGUCCCCGGAUGAGUGUACCUGAAGAAAAAGCAUCGGCUAACUCCGUGCCAGCAGCCGCGGUAAUACGGAGGAUGCGAGCGUUAUCCGGAUUUAUUGGGUUUAAAGGGUGCGUAGGCGGUCUGUUAAGUCAGCGGUAAAAGCCCGGGGCUCAACCCCGGCCCGCCGUUGAAACUGGCAGUCUCGAGUUGGCGAGAGGUAUGCGGAAUGCGCGGUGUAGCGGUGAAAUGCUUAGAUAUCGCGCAGAACUCCGAUUGCGAAGGCAGCAUGCCGGCGCCGAACUGACGCUGAGGCACGAAAGCGUGGGUAUCGAACAGGAUUAGAUACCCGUGUAGUC